AGAGUUUGAUCCUGGCUCAGAGCGAACGCUGGCGGCAGGCCUAACACAUGCAAGUCGAGCGGCCGUAGCAAUACGGCAGCGGCAGACGGGAGAGUAACACGUGGGAACGCGCCCUUCGGUUCGGGAUAACCCAGGGAAACUUGGGCUAAUACCGGAUACGCCCUUACGGGGAAAGAUUUAUUGCCGAAGGAACGGCCCGCGUCCGAUUAGCUAGUUGGUGAGGUAAUGGCUCACCAAGGCGACGAUCGGUAGCUGGUCUGAGAGGAUGACCAGCCACAUUGGGACUGAGACACGGCCCAAACUCCUACGGGAGGCAGCAGUGGGGAAUAUUGGACAAUGGGCGCAAGCCUGAUCCAGCCAUGCCGCGUGAGUGAUGAAGGCCCUAGGGUUGUAAAGCUCUUUUGUGCGGGAAGAUAAUGACGGUACCGCAAGAAUAAGCCCCGGCUAACUUCGUGCCAGCAGCCGCGGUAAUACGAAGGGGGCUAGCGUUGCUCGGAAUCACUGGGCGUAAAGGGUGCGUAGGCGGGUCUUUAAGUCAGGGGUGAAAUCCUGGAGCUCAACUCCAGAACUGCCUUUGAUACUGAGGAUCUUGAGUUCGGGAGAGGUGAGUGGAACUGCGAGUGUAGAGGUGAAAUUCGUAGAUAUUCGCAAGAACACCAGUGGCGAAGGCGGCUCACUGGCCCGAUACUGACGCUGAGGCACGAAAGCGUGGGGAGCAAACAGGAUUAGAUACCCUAGUAGUCC
RNAcentral lists this ribosomal RNA (744 nucleotides) under uncultured bacterium. RNAcentral's name for it is "bacterial SSU rRNA". It matches the Rfam family "Bacterial small subunit ribosomal RNA", at positions 8 to 796 of the family's 1533-position model. The record is from RNAcentral.